Molecule: long non-coding RNA, 6601 nt
Filed under: Sorghum bicolor (sorghum)
Lineage: Eukaryota; Viridiplantae; Streptophyta; Magnoliopsida; Poales; Poaceae
Description: long non-coding RNA (SBIC_LNC001558)
Source: RNAcentral
GCUAAGGUUUGAGGAGUGGCAGGAUAGAGGAAAAGGCUUUCUGUUGCCUAAAGUAUGGGUGAGGGUGACAGGUAUUGAAGAACCGCUGCGCGAAUUCCCAAUUCUGUGGGCAGUGGGAACCCUUUUAGGAUCGACGCAGUCUGUAGAUAUGGAGACUACAAGAAAAAGUGAUUUUGGUCGAGUUUUGGUAGCAAUGCUGGAUCCUAAGCUGAUCCCCAGAACACUUGACGUAGUGAUUGGCGAUCACUACUUUGAUUUGGUUUUCGAAGUAGAGAGGAAGGGUUUUGAUGAGAAUGGAGAUGACGUGGAGAUUGAUUGGGAUGGCGGAGAAGGGGAAGGAGAUGGGGAAGGAAAGGGAGAGGGGAAGGAACCAGAGGCAGACAGUGAGACAAAUCCAGCGGAUGGCCGAACAGAGGAAAGGGAGAACAAACGUCUCAAAGGAGGUGGGGAGAAAUUGAGGGAUGGGCCACGAUCUGGGCAGGGACCAGCUGAUCGUGGUCAAGGACUCAACGAGUUUCAAGAUGUUCUUCAUCGGAAGGCAGACUUGAUUCUUGACAAAGUAGUGGAAGAAGUGUUGGAAGAAGCAGCGUCUAAGGUGCUGAGAGAGGAAGAAGUGCCGGUGGAGGUGACUGAUGGAGAUGUAGUCGGGCUCCAUGAAAAGAAUAGUGGGGAAGUUGAGAUGGCUAUGGAGGUCACUCCGGUAGUGAUGCAGCGGGGGCUGACCUCAAUGCAUGGUACGGUGUUUAACAAGGGGCUGGGAGGAGAUUCAGAGCAGGGAGCUGAUCUUGGGGAGAGGGAAAGUAGCAGGCUGUCGACCAAGGAAGGGCUUGCUGAAUCAAAACUCACGGAUGCUGCGCUGAUCCCAGAGGUUUUGAGGUCACCAUCCAGGGCAAGUCCGAGACUUGCCGAGAUGGGGGCUGAGCACACCUUGUUGAAGGCGGAGCGCAGGAUGCUGUCCAGGAAUCUGGAAUCUUUGGAAGGUAAUCCAUCUACUGAUCUUUAUAGUAAUCCUCUUUUGGCACAAGCUGUAGAUAAUUUACGGGCUUUGGGUUUAGGAGAAAAUUUUAAUAGUGUUAGCUCUUUUGAGGCGAAUGUUCAAAGUCUAUUGGCUAGGGAUUUAGCAAGUGACAGACCUGUUACUGAGGGUGGAAUGGGGGAUGUUGAGUUUUCUGAUAUUGAAUCAGUUGACUCGAGAGGAAAGCAUUAGAGUACGUGUGUGAGGAUUUAAUGGAGGAAGUGUUUGACGAGGAUAGCUAUCACCUAAAUGGUGAUUCUAAAAUUGUCCAAAGGAAGCGGGGCGCUAAGUCGCCAAGGAAACGAGCUUCGAGAAAAUUGAAGGUUAAGAUAAACAAAGUAGUUGCAUCAUGAAAGGAAUUUUCUGGAAUAGCAGAGGUCUUCGUGACUUGGCUAAAUCUAAAUUCCUAAAUAAUACGUCUCGAGAGCAGAAGCUAGACUUCAUUGCUCUCCUAGAGACGGGUAAAAAGAAUUACUCUCAAGCAAAGUUGGAUAGGAUUUGUGGGGGGAAAAAUUUCGUUUGGCACUGGACUGAUCCUCAUGGUAGGUCAGGAGGUAUGUUGUUAGGGGUGAAUUUAGAUACCUGCGACGUAGGAAGCAUAGAGGCGGGUGAUUUCUUUAUCAAGUUCCAUCUCAGAAAUAGAUGUGAUGGUUUUCAUUGGUGUUUAGUGGCGGUAUAUGGAGCAGCUCAACCAGAAUUUAAAGAGAAGAAGUUCCUGACGGAGCUUGUUCAGGCCUGCAGGAAAGAAUCUCUGCCUUUGUUGAUAGGUGGGGAUUUUAACAUCAUUAGGAACCCCAGUGAGAAAAAUAAUGAUAAGUUUGAUAGUCGAUGGCCCUUUUUAUUCAAUGCCAUUAUAGAUGGUUUGGACCUAAGGGAGAUUGAGAUGUCUGGGAGAAAAUUUACUUGGGCCAACUCUAAGAGUGUACCAACUUAUGAGAGGCUGGAUAGGGUGCUUGUUAGUACAGAAUGGGAGCAAAAGUUCCCUUUAGUUACAGUGGAUGCUUUGAAUAGAGAAAUUUCAGAUCACACUCCUUUGCUGUUGAGCACGGGAGAUAGGGUACAGGUGGCUGGGCAGCAUGAGUUCAAAUUUGAACUCAGCUGGUUGCUGCUUGAGGGCUUCUUUGAGACAGUAGCUAAGACUUGGAAAAGUGUAAUCUGUGGGUAUUCUCCUAUGAAGAAUUGGCAGAAUAAGAUUAGAAGGCUAAGACAAUUUUUGAGAGGCUGGGCCAAAAAUGUGGAAGGGAAUGCUAGGAGAGAAAAGAAGAAAUUAUUUAGGCUAGCUGGAGAACUCGACUUAAAAGCUGAAACACAGCUCCUGAAUCAACAGGAAUUAGACCUGAAACAAAGUCUGAAUACAAGAAUUGCGCAGCUGCAUAGGGAAGAAGAGAUCAAAUGGUUCCAGAGGGCUAAGACCAAAAAUCUGCUAGAAGGAGAUAACAAUACAAAGUAUUUCCAUAUGGUGGCGAAUGGAAAGAGACGAAAAACUAGGAUAUUCCAGCUUGAACAAGAGGGGAAAGUGAUUGAGGGUUAGAAAAACUUAAAAGGCUUUAUAACAAAAUACUAUAAAGAGUUGUUUGGGUUAUCACAGAGAAAUGAGCUCUCGCUUGAUGAAUCACAAAUUGAAGAUAUCCCUCAGAUCAAUGAAGAUGAAAAUAAAAUGCUAAUAGACGAGUUUACUGAAAGAGAAGUGAGAGAGGCAAUCUUCCAAAUGAAACAUAACAAGGCGCCGGGGCCUGAUGGCUUUCCGGUGGAGUUCUAUCAAGUUUUCUGGUCUCUCAUCAAAGAUGACCUCAUGGCCAUGUUUCGGGAGUUCCAUUUGGAUAACUUGCCUCUCUUUAAUCUGAAUUUUGGAACAAUUUGCCUAAUCCCAAAACAAAAGGAAGUCAAGCAGGUCCAGCAAUAUAGACCUAUUUGCAUGCUGAAUGUGAGUUUCAAAAUAUUUACUAAGGUUUUGGCUAAUAGGUUAACUGCGGUUGCCGACAGAAUUGUCAGACAAUCACAAACGGCCUUCAUGCCAGGGAGGAACAUUUUGGAGGGUGCAAUAGUCUUACAUGAAACAAUUCACGAGUUGCACAAAAGGAAGAAAGCUGGGGUAAUCCUCAAACUGGAUUUCGAAAAGGCAUAUGACAAAGUUAGCUGGUCCUUUGUGCAACAAACGCUUAGGAUGAAAGGCUUCUCGCCGACUUGGUGCAAAUGGAUUGAGGAGGUUGUUAGUCGAGGAAGUGUGGGGAUUAAGGUAAAUGAGGAGACCGGCUGUAAUUUUCAGACUAGGAAAGGACUUAGACAGGGAGAUCCUCUCUCUCCUAUUCUUUUCAACUUGGUAGCUGAUAUGUUAGCCAUUCUUGUCUUGCGAGCAAAAAAUUCUGGGCAAUUUAGGGGGCUGGUUCCAAACCUGGUGGACGAGGGGCUCUCUAUCCUAUAGUACGCGGAUGAUACAGUCUUAUUUCUGGAGGACAAUCUAGAGGAGGCUAGGAACCUUAAACUCGUGCUGGGAGCUUUUGAGAAGCUUUCAGGUUUAAAAAUUAACUAUCACAAAAGCGAACUGUUUUGCUUUGGUGCUGCUAAGAACCGAGGGAAUGAGUAUAAAGAAAUUUUUGGGUGUGUACAGGGAAUUUUCCCCCUUAAAUACCUAGGAAUUCCAAUGCAUGUCCGGAGGCUUUCUAAUAGGCACUGGAAUGCAGUGGAAGAGCGUUUCCAGAAAAAAUUGAGUAGUUGGAAAGGGAAAUUUCUUUCCUCAGGAGGUAGACUAGUGCUGAUUAACUCAGUCCUCUCUAGCUUGCCAAUGUAUAUGAUGUCCUUUUUUGCAAUUCCUAAAGGAGUGCUAAAAAGAUUGGACUAUUAUCGGUCUAGAUUUUUUUGGCAGUGCGAGGAACACGGUAAAAAAUAUAGGUUGGCAAAUGGAGUAUUCUUUGCAAGCCAAGGUGUAUAGGAGGGAUGGGGAUUCUGAAUCUAGAGACACAGAAUAUUUGUCUUCUUAGCAAGUGGCUGUUCAAGCUCCUUAAUGAGGACGGCAUGUGGCAAAAUGUUCUCAGAAGAAAAUAUGUUAAGAACAAAUGUAUAACUCAAGUUGGGAGACGACCAGGGGAUUCACACUUCUGGUCAAGCUUAAUGGAGGUAAAGAAUACAAUGCUUAAGUUUGGAAGUUUCAAGGUGAAUAAUGGCCAUGAGGUUAGGUUCUGGGAAGAUGUGUGGGUGAGUCAACAACCAUUAAAACAACGGUUCCCUAGCCUGUAUAACUUGGCCAGGAAGAGAAAUGUGUCGGUAGCCAAUGUUCUCGACUCAACUCCACUGAAUAUUUCUUUUAGGCGGGCGAUUGUGGGCGAGCGGCUGGAAGAGUGGCUCAGGCUGGUGGCCGUAAUAGUACCAGUUUCUUUAAACAACAACAAAGAAAAGUUUGUUUGGUAUUUAAAGAAAGACGGCGUAUUCACAACUCAGUCGCUGUAUAAAGAAUUAAUGAGGGAGGACAGAAUAGGGGGAAGGAUUUUUUCUGGAAGACAAAAAUUCCUUUGAAAAUUAAAAUUUUCUUUUGGUAUCUAAAGAGAGGAGUGGUUCUAACAAAGGAUAAUUUAUUGAAAAAAAAGUGGAAGGGCGACCCUAGCUGCAUGUUUUGUGGUUCAGAGGAGACCAUCCAACAUCUGUUCUUCGAUUGUCGGGUAGCCCGGUUUGUGUGAAAUCUGAUCUUAAUUGUCUUUAACAUUCAACCACCUAGAAACACGACUCAUUUGUUUGGAUCUUGGAUAAGGGGAUUUACUCCAGGGCUAAGAUUUCAAUUAAUGGUGGGGAUAGCGGCCAUGUGUUGGGCUUUGUGGUUGAAUAGAAAUGAUAUGAUAUUCCAAAAGGCAACCGCUAACUCCUUUCUGCAGGUGAUUUUCAGGGGGGCAUAUUGGAUCAGACAAUGGUCCCAGUUAUCUAAAGAGGAAGAGAAAGGGGCUCUGAUGGAAGGAUGUCAGCGUCUGGAAGUAGGGGCAUUGCACCUCUUUAGUGGCCAUGCCUGGAAGAACCGGAGAAGGAUAAAAGAAUAGCUCUUUGCUGCUGUUUAUCUUUAGACUAGUUUAGAGGCUCUAAGCAGGAUCUCUGUUUUUAGUUGCCAUGUUUGUGGUCUGAACCUGUAGAGCAGUGGACUCAUUGUUGUUUUGUAUGCAUUGGUUGACACUUGCAAUGGUGGGUUGUAAUAGGGCUUCCUUUUGCCUCCGUGUAGCGGAACUCUGGUCUAAGUACCCUUUUGUAAGGUUGUGUCAUAAGCGUUCACUUGUGAGCGUGAAGGCAGGGAUGUUUAUUCCGUAAUCUUAAAAAAAACCUCAGCGGCAUGUCGCUCGCCGGCCGCCUCAGCCUGGACUCCCUCCUCGAGCUGCCGCCCCGGCUAAAGAGCCUCGAUCUCAGCAACAAUAGAUUCUACGGUAACCUCUCAGCAUCAGAUCACACCCUGUUUAGGCCAUGCGUGCUCGAGGACAUGGACUUGUCAUCAAACAGUUUGGACGGGACAUUGCCUAGCGCGUUCUUGGCGUCGUGCGGCGCACUGGAGUUCCUCAACAUCUCUAGGAACUCCCUCACCGCCGUUGGGUUCCCUUUCCCUCCAUCGCUGCGCACCUUCGACUUGUCCAACAAUCAGCUGUCAGAUGCCGGCUUGCUAAACUACACCUUCACCAGCUGCGGACACAGUGUUCAGUACCUUGAUCUCUCGGCUAACCAGUUCGCCGGAGGCAUCCCUGCAACUGCAAUUGCGCCGUGCAGCAAGCUAGCCGUCCUUGAUCUGUCGUCGAAUCUCUUGUCUGGUGCACUCCCUGCUGAUCUUGUGGCUGCAGCGCCAGCAACCAUGACACAUUUGAGCAUUGCUAGGAACAACUUGUCUGGGGACAUCUCGGCAUACGAAUUCGGUGUGUGCGCGAGCCUCGUGGGGGCUCAACUGGUCUUACAACGGGCUAACUGGCAAAGGAUUGCCGCCAAGUCUCGCGAAUUGCCGCCGCCUGGAGAUGCUCGACAUGUCAAGGAAUAAGCUCUCGUCCAGCCUCAUACCAGCUUUCUUGGGGAACUUUCCAUCACUCAGAGCAACUCCAGCCCAAAUCCCUAAAUUAAGCCUAUAAAUUUUUAUUUACAUGCUAUGAUAAAAAAAAAGUAGGGGCUCAAAUUAAAAUCCAACUCCAACCCACCUCCUAAACAAGUAGGAUAGGGGGUUCUAGAUGUGAGAGGCUGAAACUAUAAUUUAGGAGGGCAUGGAAAAUGGGAGCCCAUGUAGGAGGUGGGUUGGAGUUGAUUUUUUUUAGAUCAAGUCUCUAGAUUUAGAAUAGAGACUUGUUUAGGAGGUGGGUUGGAGUUGCCUCUUCAGGAGACUAAAUUUGGCAGGAAACAGGUUCUCUGGUGAGAUACCAGACAGCUUAAGCCUGUUGUGCGACACUUUGGUUGAGCUAGAUCUGUCGAGCAACCAGCUUAUCGGCAGCUUGCCAACAAACUUCACAGAGUGCGUGUCACUUAAGCUGCUCGACCUUGGUAGCAACCAGCUUUCUGGGGAUUUCGUGGCCACCAUCAUCAGCGGCGGCAUGCCGUCCCUCCGUGUCCUGAGGCUGCCAUUAUUCAACGACAUCAAAGGAG